Molecule: ribosomal RNA, 254 nt
Filed under: uncultured bacterium
Lineage: Bacteria
Description: partial 16S ribosomal RNA
Rfam family: Bacterial small subunit ribosomal RNA
Source: RNAcentral
UACGUAGGGUGCGAGCGUUAAUCGGAAUUACUGGGCGUAAAGCGUGCGCAGGCGGUUAUUUAAGUCCGGUGUGAAAGCCCUGGGCUUAACCUAGGAAUUGCGCUUGAGACUGGAUAGCUUGGAGUGCGGCAGAGGGAGGUGGAAUUCCACGUGUAGCAGUGAAAUGCGUAGAGAUGUGGAGGGACACCGAUGGCGAAGGCAGCCUCCUGGGCCAGCACUGACGCUCAUGCACGAAAGCGUGGGGAGCAAACAGG